Molecule: non-coding RNA, 168 nt
Organism: Vicugna pacos (alpaca)
Lineage: Eukaryota; Metazoa; Chordata; Mammalia; Artiodactyla; Camelidae
Source: RefSeq, a predicted model, not a curated record
UGGGCACGUUCUUGUCUGCCAGUUCGGGGUGCUUGGGCAUGUGGACAUCCUUCUUGGCCACCAUCACUCCCUCCUUAAAAAGGAGUUCAUAAAUGGCAAUACGGUUCUUCUUGGGCAUCAACAUCUGCAGGAAGGAAAAGCACUUUCGAGCAACGUCUGAAUUCCAGU